This 253-nucleotide ribosomal RNA is filed under the name uncultured bacterium. RNAcentral describes it as "partial 16S ribosomal RNA". It matches the Rfam family "Bacterial small subunit ribosomal RNA", at positions 524 to 776 of the family's 1533-position model. The record is from RNAcentral.
UACGAAGGGGGCUAGCGUUGUUCGGAAUUAUUGGGCGUAAAGAGCUCGUAGGCGGCUUGUCACGUCGGGUGUGAAAGCCCGGGGCUUAACCCCGGGUCUGCAUUCGAUACGGGCUAGCUAGAGUGUGGUAGGGGAGAUCGGAAUUCCUGGUGUAGCGGUGAAAUGCGCAGAUAUCAGGAGGAACACCGGUGGCGAAGGCGGAUCUCUGGGCCAUUACUGACGCUGAGGAGCGAAAGCGUGGGGAGCGAACAGG